Molecule: long non-coding RNA, 4754 nt
Organism: Astatotilapia calliptera (eastern happy)
Lineage: Eukaryota; Metazoa; Chordata; Actinopteri; Cichliformes; Cichlidae
Source: Ensembl
GAGAAAGUACUGUGUGCAUUUAUUGAAUUUUAGGUCUCUGCAUUAUACAUUUGAACAACCUUGAAAUAGUAUAAAUAGCUCUACAGCAUUGUAAAAGAUGGGGAUUUUAGUCCGACUUUGUUCUUAUUUACAGAAGACAUUUUUAGAAGCACGGGGAGAAAUGCAAGAUUAUUAGUUUUGUCUUAAUAUCAAACAACCCUUUUACUCAGUAUUGCGCAUAUACUUUAAAUAUUACCAGAGUAUAGUGACAAGAAUCUAAGUAAAUCUCACUUUAUGAGCACAUCCACUCACUCACAACUUUGUCUCAGACAGCACAACCAGUUUUACUAAACCCACAGACCUUGAAUUACACACAGCCUAUAAGAGUAGUUUAAAGAACAGAUUUAAAGUAUGUGCUUGCUUCAUAAAGUAUUUCUUCUAGGAUUUGUACAGACACUUUUUGCUACAUCAUAUCUCUCAUGUUUAAAAGAGUAUUGCCCCUGCCCUUCACCCCCUUUUCCCAGUUAUAUUCCAAAGUCAGAGAAACAAUGAAGGGAUACGAAAGAGCUUUUUGUCCUCCCCCUCUCUUCAGAGUACUGCGUGGGGUUAGUUUCACUAGAUUCACACUGUCUGAUGGAAACACAUUUAAAUGUGCAAACAUGUAUCAAACUUGGAUUCCCAAAAUGAAACUUUUACCCUUUCACAGAAAAAAAAUAUAGACUGCUCAUCAAAGCUAUGCUCUGUUAUGAAACUCAUCAUGCAUUUAGUGUGAUGCUAAAUAAAAGCCCAUUCAUUAUCACCCAUAAAAAUCAAUAGUUUAGAGCAGCAAUCCCCCCCCCCCCCCCCCCCCACAGUGCCACUGAGUGAGUCACUGAUAAACCUACCCAGGAAAUCCAGCUAGGUGUGCCCCAGUGAUUAUUUGUGUGCUAAAGAACAGCUUUGUUUAAAUGUAUGAGAUGAGCUUUCUUUUGUCUCUUUAAGUACCCCACUUACAUCCCCUGGUUUCCCAUACAUGCACACACACAGACACACACACACACAGACACAGUCAUCAGCAGGCUGGAAAAAGUCUCGACUCUCAGUUUGAAACAGAUCACAGAACAACUUUCUCUGUGUUCCUGGCCUCCUCCCCUUAGUGCACCGGAGAUGCCACAUUUGUGUUUUACCUGCAUUCAAGUCCUACGGUUUUGUGCAAGCAAGCAAUAUGUGGGGGAAAAAUAUGAAGAAAAGAAAAUGAUACAUGAAAUUAUGUAACAUAUUACAUAAUUAUUAGGUAUUGUAAAACAUGGCAGUGAGUGCAUAGAGUGAAGACACUGUCAUCUUGUCGUUGAUACAUAUAUAUCCACUAGAAGCCGCCCUGCUUACAUAUAGAAGAGACAUCUAUGCUUAUUUUAGGAGAAGAUUUCAUCAGACGAGUUCUUCCAGACAGUCAGAAAUUAAAUCAAGCCAACCACCAAGUUUGAGUCACACUGUAGGCCUCAGAUGUUAACGGCCCUAUUCACCCCCAGUCAAACGGAAGGGGGUAUACUGACAGCCAUCACGGAGCCAACUAUUGACACCUUUGUGCCAUUUUUCUGGCUGAGAGACAUCCCCAGCAGGCAAACACAACAGCGAAAGAAUGGUGAGCAAUCAAGAGUAAGAAGUGGUGCUUACUUGGUAUUUCCAAUUCAAAUUAUGUACUUCUGGUUCACAGCAGGUGAGAAACAGACACUGCAACAGCUAAGGCCAGUGGCAAGUAAUUAGGAGAGGACAGUUGGAGUUUGUUUGCUUACCAACUGAAAGUGGAAGACAGGCAAAUGACAGUGGUUGAUCUAAGGCAUGUCAGGGGUGACUCGCUGGUUCGGUAUGCUACUCGCAGUGUAAAAAUCUAAAGUGAGGGGAUAUGUGCAAUCAAAGCGAUGUGUCCCCUUCAUGCAAAUUAUGCAAUGCCAGCUAUGUAAUUUCACUGUAAACACAUGGCAGAGACAUCAUAUGUUUUCUUGAGUGAAAAAAAAGAAAAAGAAAAAUCAGCCCCUGUUGCUGCAGACUUCAGAAACGAUGCUUUUCAAAAUGCAAACUCCUAAGUUCAUGAACCAAACGAAGAGGUUUGAUCCACAAGUGAUGGCCAGUUCUGCUGUCAAACAUGGACUUAUCAAAAUCUUUAAAUCUAUAUGUUGCUAUGGCUACAGUGUACUUAAUCUAUUUUCACAGUCGACAUUUGAGUUCCUUGAAGCUGACAUUUAAAUACACAAGAUGAAUUUAAAACAGUGAAUUCAUCUUUGGCUUACGCAGUCUUCAGUGGAAAGAAAAAAAAGCAACUGAAUAAAUGAUUAAAACACAAUCACUAAUGUAUGUAAUGCUUUAAUAAGAAAGUCUUCUUUGAAUAAAAAUAAGUGCAGGUAUUUUGGGUGCUCCUCUGAUGGGGGGGGGGGAGAUAAUGUAACAAUGAACUUUGAUUUCGUUAUUUUGUUGAGUGAUGGGAAGCAAAAUAAAAUCAAAAAACACUUCUGGAAACACGAAACCUGCUCACUGUGCCUGCUGCAUGAAGCCUAGAUGAAAGCACUUAAAGAAGUCAAAUAUUUAAGUAUCUGCAGUUACAGCACAAACAGAAAAUGCUAAGGUAGUGGAAAAGAGAAGACAAAAGACACCAGGAGGAGUGAAAGAUUUCGUCCCAACAACAGGAAUAAAUAUUCGGUAUAUAGUUCCCCGUGUCAUUCUGUCGGGUAAACAUUACCCCUCAAAAGUUUGAGGUAAUUUUGCAAAACUCCCACUUCACAUCUGUGAAAACAUGUAUAAAACUAAAAAUGACCAAUCAAAAUAUACCCAAACUUGAGCUGGUACACUGGACUUCUCAGACAAGUCUGAAAUUAAUCAGACUUAUAACAUUCAAACACAAAAACUAAUUCAUGAAUGCAAGCAAAUAACAGUAAUUGGGAUCUUCAUUAAAAAGAAAAAAAAACUCUUUUGCAAAACAACAACUUUGAUAAUUCAUGGUUACCAACAAUAAUUAUAUUUAGAAUUAAACACAUCAUUUUUAUUAAAGAGCGUGCGCAUGCCGGUGGACUGACCAUUAGACGAACAUUAAAAAAAGAUUUUUGUAAUUGCCAAUACUGUUAAUUUAGGGCAGCUGCAGGAUAAACCUUACGCUGCGUAUAAAGUAAAGGUUUACAAAAAUGUUGCAGAUCAAAAUGUAUUAAUCAAUCAUUACUGGAAUCUAUAUCAAGGGAUCAAUCCUGUGCUCCAGUGGCAGAUUACAUCAGCAAGUGCAAGAUAGCUACCUAACUUCUAUCUAUGCAUGACAGCUAUCUCGAUAAAGUGUUGUGGCUCACACACAGUACAGAAAGAAAGAGUGCACCAGGAAAGAUGUUCCCUGUCAAAGAUUCUGGUAACUUAUUGAUAAUAAAAUAAUUAUAACCCUCGUUGUGUUUCUGGUAAUUAUCUCCUAUAUUAUAUCGGAUUAAUGACAUUUUAUUUAGCUUGCAUUUUUCCACAUUUGUGAAAAACGUUUCUCAGAUAUAUUCCACAUCUUUAAAUUAUACCAAAAAUAUCAGUUAUAGUGCUGCUAGCCUGACAACAUGACUAUAAAUAGAUUAUUUUUUUCACUGAUUUUGCUGAGAGCUGCAUGUUUCACUUGGGGAGAAAAAAACUGACACUCUGGGUCUUUAGAUGCAGAGUGCUGACUCGUGCUUCUCAGGCAGACUGCUCUAACUUAACACGAGAAGCGAACAUGGUACUGGUAAUGCAAGCAGUGCGCUCCUGACCUAUUUGAUAAUGUUAUGAAAACUGUAUCGCUGAUUAAAAAUAUUGGAUAGUUAAGAGCCUGAUAGAUCAGCCUUUAUGGGUUUUAGAGUAGUCUCAAAACACUCUUAAAAAAAAGGGAACUACCUAUUACAUGCCUGAAAAGUUAAACAGUGUGUACUGUUCUUUUCACAAACCAACAUGAUUUGGCUCUUAUGGGAACCAUUUCAUAAAGCUGCCAAUAGAAGACUAGAAACUCUGAUUUAUGAGUGAUUUACAUCUCCUAGCGCAAUGAUCUACAGGGUUUUAUCUCAUUCUUUCUGUUCUCUUUAGAGCUGGUUUGCACUUCUCAGAGUAGUAAAAAAACAAAAACAAAAAACAAAACAUUGUAUGAAUCAAUAAAUGUUUUUAUUAAGUGACAAUAUCUGGACCUGCUUCAGCCAUUUCCAAUUACCUUUUAUUUUGACUGUUUGUUUUUCAGUUAUUUUCCCAGGGGUGAUUCUCUUAUUUCAAUUUACCGGUAAUUUCUAUUCUUUGAAAAUGUUUAGGUUUAGUGUCCAUUUAAAUUAAUAUUAUAUGGACUGUAUAAAUAAAAGACAAGAUUUAGGAAAAUCAGUCCAGGUAUUACAAUAAAAUCACAUAACUUUUUGAAAGCAGCUGGUUCACAGUGUCCAGAGAUCCUGAGUUUCAAACACAUCAAAGCCUCUUCUUGACAUAACUAACAGAUAGUAAUUAAAGAUCUCUCCUCUAUAUAUUUAUUUCUAUAUAUUUAUUAGUGUUCCAAGUUCACAAAAUUGUUUCAGUUAUAGUCUUAAAUUCCCCCCAGUUUGUUUUAAUUUUAGUUAUCUAAAAUGUCUUUUUAAAACAUCUAAUCCACAGUGAAAGAAACAACAUUAAAUGUAAUGGCAUGUAAUGUAAUGUCUUCUGUUAAUGGCACAAGUUUUGUCAGCUAUGUUAACAUAACUGAAAGAGGUUUCCUAAUAAUUAUUCUUUUAAUAUGACAAACUGGUAUUAGGGAUCAUGCCAUUAGAACACAGGAGUGAAGGUAUGUAUGCCUG